GACGAACGCUGGCGGCGUGCCUAACACAUGCAAGUCGAGCGAAUGAAGUUCCUUCGGGAACGGAUUUAGCGGCGGACGGGUGAGUAACACGUGGGCAACCUGCCUCAUAGAGGGGAAUAGCCUUCCGAAAGGGAGAUUAAUACCGCAUAAGAUUGUAGUACCGCAUGGUACAGCAAUUAAAGGAGCAAUCCGCUAUGAGAUGGGCCCGCGGCGCAUUAGCUAGUUGGUGAGGUAACGGCUCACCAAGGCGACGAUGCGUAGCCGACCUGAGAGGGUGAUCGGCGACAUUGGGACUGAGACACGGCCCAGACUCCUACGGGAGGCAGCAGUGGGGAAUAUUGCACAAUGGGGGAAACCCUGAUGCAGCAACGCCGCGUGAGUGAUGACGGCCUUCGGGUUGUAAAGCUCUGUCUUCAGGGACGAUAAUGACGGUACCUGAGGAGGAAGCCACGGCUAACUACGUG
Molecule: ribosomal RNA, 464 nt
Filed under: uncultured bacterium
Lineage: Bacteria
Description: partial 16S ribosomal RNA
Rfam family: Bacterial small subunit ribosomal RNA
Source: RNAcentral